Molecule: small nuclear RNA, 109 nt
Organism: Fundulus heteroclitus (mummichog)
Lineage: Eukaryota; Metazoa; Chordata; Actinopteri; Cyprinodontiformes; Fundulidae
Product: U5 spliceosomal RNA
Exons: 1
Source: RefSeq, a predicted model, not a curated record
ACUCUUGUUACUCUUCAGAUCGUAUAAGUCUUUCGUCUUUCACUAAAGAUUUCCAUGGAGAGGAACAAGUAUUUGACUUAGUUUCUUGAUGCCCUGUGAAAAUGGGAGU